RNAcentral lists this ribosomal RNA (305 nucleotides) under uncultured bacterium. Its description in RNAcentral is "partial 16S ribosomal RNA". It matches the Rfam family "Bacterial small subunit ribosomal RNA", at positions 508 to 807 of the family's 1533-position model. The record is from RNAcentral.
ACAGCAGUCGCCGCGGUAAUACGAAGGGUGCAAGCGUUAAUCGGAAUUACUGGGCGUAAAGCGUGCGUAGGCGGUGAGUUAAGUCUGCUGUGAAAUCCCCGGGCUCAACCUGGGAAUGGCAGUGGAUACUGGCUCGCUAGAGUGUGUCAGAGGAUGGUGGAAUUCCCGGUGUAGCGGUGAAAUGCGUAGAGAUCGGAAGGAACACCGAUGGCGAAGGCAAUCCCCUGGACCUGUACUGACGCUCAUGCACGAAAGCGUGGGGAGCAAACAGGAUUAGAUACCCCGGUAGUCCCUGUCUCUUAUAC